Molecule: unclassified non-coding RNA, 6297 nt
Filed under: Haliotis rufescens (red abalone)
Lineage: Eukaryota; Metazoa; Mollusca; Gastropoda; Lepetellida; Haliotidae
Description: dimethyladenosine transferase 2, mitochondrial-like, transcript variant X3
Source: RNAcentral
CAAUAUGGCUGCCACCAUGAAAACGUGUUGUUGUUUAUAAACAAGUAACGAUGCAUUACAUUUCCACUGAACAUUAUUCCUGAUCUUGUACUGCACUAUAUUUUGCGAGUCUUUAUAAGCUUUAUUGGAAUGGCUAAUCGUAAAUGAUGACAUCUCUGACAUGUUUGAGAGACAGCUUAUUUCUCAAUGACAAAUCGACACCAGCUUGUUUUGACGUUUUGACCCUCUCCCGGCACUCGAGUAGUUUUUACUAAGACGGUGACAUCACACUGACAUGCAUCGUUGUAUUUAUUGUUCCCGUUUCUUACGGCUUACGAGAACGAUAGAAUGCGUUGCUUCUACUAUUCCGAGAUAUUUUGGUGCAAGAAACUUUACAAAUGAUUCUACACAUGAACCAGCCAACCCAACACAACGCGUGGAGCCGGUGUCCUUGCAGCAAUCGUUGUUAAAUGCAGAAGAUGUGCCAAGCAAGGAAGAUGUCUUGUCCAGUCAUGAGGUGUUGGCGGGAAAGACUGUUACUCGUUCAAGCCACUACAUCAUUGACAGAGAUAUAGCAAGGGCCAUUGCUACAGCAGUUAACCAAAACAAGCCAUCUGAGAGUUGUGUCCUUGUGGAGGCAAACCCUGGGCCUGGAAUAUUGACAAGGGCUUUCUUUGAUGCAGGGUUUCAGCAUGUUGUUGCUGUAGAGAGUAAGCCAGAAUUCCAGCAAUACAUGCAGGACAUUGAGAGGACGGUGGGAUCAGACCGACUCAAAUAUUUUGACUUCGACCCUUUCAUCUUGUGGCGGCGGGACAUGCUCGCAAACAAGCACGACGCCACGUACAAGGAAGUGGAGAACAACAUUGCACAGUACAUGACCUCCAGUGUACCGACAGAUGUUCCUGUCAGUGUGUUUGGUGUUCUGAGUAAAAACAAGGAGUAUCCCUUCCUCUCCUACCUGUCCAAGACCUUUGCCCUGGGGGAAGGGCUGUUUUCUGUGAGGCCAAAGAACUGGUUCUUGUUUGUGUCUGCUAAAAUUUAUCUGCAACUGAAGAUUUGUCGUGGUGACGUUUGGUCGUCCGUCUUCUACAACAAAGUUGCUGUCGUCAUCUACAGUUUCUUUGACUUCAAAUUGCUGAUGGAGCUUGAACACAACAAAUUUGCACCUCCAUUUAGGAAGAAAAAGAAGAAAGUGACCAGGCUCUACCCUGAGUGCGAUGUCAACACAAAGUACCUGGUACAGCUGUCAGUCAAGCCUAACAUAGAACAGAUACUCCCUCCCAGUGAGAUCACUACCUUUGCCAUGUUCCUUAAGCAGCUGCUGUUCAGGAGGAAUGACAGGUUCAUCCCUCGAAUGGAACAGCUGAUCCCGGGGUGCGGGCUGCACCUGAUCCAGGCCAGGUUCUCCAUGAUGCAGCUAGUGAUGGACCUCACUCCCGCACAGCUGCUGGAGGUCUUCAAGUCACUUCUCACCUGGCCGGAGUAUCCUGACUCUCCUCUGUCCUUUAUCUUGAUGGAGAGGUCAGAGGUCGACAUUGACGAGGAAGAGGUCAAGGACAAGUUAAAAGAGGAGGAGGACAUGGCCCAAGAGGGCAGCAGGGUGGGCCGCAGUGGUGGUGGAGACUGAUGAUCUCACCUCUCCCUAGGUCCUGGAGGGCAGCAGGGUGGGUCACAGAGGUGGAGACUGAUGCUCUCACCUCCCCCUAGGUCCUGCAGGGCAGCAGGGUGGGUCACAGAGGUGGAGACUGAUGCUCUCACCUCCCCCUAGGUCCUGCAGGGCAGCAGGGUAGGUCACAGAGGUGGAGACUGAUGCUCUCACCUCUCCCUAGGUCCUGGAGGGCAGCAGGGUGGGUCACAGAGGUGGAGACUGAUGCUCUCACCUCUCAAUAGGUCCUGCAGGGCAGCAGGGUGGGUCACAGAGGUGGAGACUGAUGCUCUCACCUCUCCCUAGGUCCUGGAGGGCAGCAGGGUGGGUCACAGAGGUGGAGACUGAUGCUCUCACCUCCCCCUAGGUCCUGCAGGGCAGCAGGGUGGGUCACAGAGGUGGAGACUGAUGCUCUCACCUCACCCUAGGUCCUGCAGGGCAGCAGGGUGGGUCACAGAGGUGGAGACUGAUGCUCUCACCUCUCCCUAGGUCCUGCAGGGCAGCAGGGUGGGUCACAGAGGUGGAGACUGAUGCUCUCACCUCUCCCUAGGUCCUGCAGGGCAGCAGGGUGGGUCACAGAGGUGGAGACUGAUGCUCUCACCUCUCAAUAGGUCCUGCAGGGCAGCAGGGUGGGUCACAGAGGUGGAGACUGAUGCUCUCACCUCUCCCUAGGUCCUGGAGGGCAGCAGGGUGGGUCACAGAGGUGGAGACUGAUGCUCUCACCUCCCCCUAGGUCCUGCAGGGCAGCAGGGUGGGUCACAGAGGUGGAGACUGAUGCUCUCACCUCCCCCUAGGUCCUGCAGGGCAGCAGGGUGGGUCACAGAGGUGGAGACUGAUGCUCUCACCUCCCCCUAGGUCCUGCAGGGCAGCAGGGUAGGUCACAGAGGUGGAGACUGAUGCUCUCACCUCUCCCUAGGUCCUGGAGGGCAGCAGGGUGGGUCAAAGAGGUGGAGACUGAUGCUCUCACCUCUCAAUAGGUCCUGCAGGGCAGCAAGGUGGGUCACAGAGGUGGAGACUGAUGCUCUCACCUCUCCCUAGGUCCUGGAGGGCAGCAGGGUGGGUCACAGAGAUGGAGACUGAUGCUCUCACCUCCCCCUAGGUCCUGCAGGGCAGCAGGGUGGGUCACAGAGGUGGAGACUGAUGCUCUCACCUCACCCUAGGUCCUGCAGGGCAGCAGGGUGGGUCACAGAGGUGGAGACUAAUGCUCUCACCUCUCAAUAGGUCCUGCAGGGCAGCAGGGUGGGUCACAGAGGUGGAGACUGAUGCUCUCACCUCUCCCUAGGUCCUGGAGGGCAGCAGGGUGGGUCACAGAGGUGGAGACUGAUGCUCUCACCUCUCCCUAGGUCCUGGAGGGCAGCAGGGUGGGUCACAGAGGUGGAGACUGAUGCUCUCACCUCUCCCUAGGUCCUGCAGGGCAGCAGGGUGGGUCACAGAGGUGGAGACUGAUGCUCUCACCUCUCCCUAGGUCCUGGAGGGCAGCAGGGUGGGUCACAGAGGUGGAGACUGAUGCUCUCAUCUCCCCCUAGGUCCUGCAGGGCAGCAGGGUGGGUCACAGAGGUGGAGACUGAUGCUCUCAUCUCCCCCUAGGUCCUGCAGGGCAGCAGGGUGGGUCACAGAGGUGGAGACUGAUGCUCUCACCUCUCAAUAGGUCCUGCAGGGCAGCAGGGUGGGUCACAGAGGUGGAGACUGAUGCUCUCACCUCUCAAUAGGUCCUGGAGGGCAGCAGGGUGGGUCACAGAGGUGGAGACUGAUGCUCUCACCUCUCCCUAGGUCCUGGAGGGCAGCAGGGUGGGUCACAGAGGUGGAGACUGAUGCUCUCACCUCCCCCUAGGUCCUGCAGGGCAGCAGGGUGGGUCACAGAGGUGGAGACUGAUGCUCUCACCUCCCCCUAGGUCCUGCAGGGCAGCAGGGUGGGUCACAGAGGUGGAGACUGAUGCUCUCACCUCCCCAUAGGUCCUGCAGGGCAGCAGGGUGGGUCACAGAGGUGGAGACUGAUGCUCUCACCUCCCCCUAGGUCCUGCAGGGCAGCAGGGUAGGUCACAGAGGUGGAGACUGAUGCUCUCACCUCUCCCUAGGUCCUGCAGGGCAGCAGGGUGGGUCACAGAGGUGGAGACUGAUGCUCUCACCUCCCCCUAGGUCCUGCAGGGCAGCAGGGUGGGUCACAGAGGUGGAGACUGAUGCUCUCACCUCCCCCUAGGUCCUGCAGGGCAGCAGGGUGGGUCACAGAGGUGGAGACUGAUGCUCUCACCUCUCCCUAGGUCCUGCAGGGCAGCAGGGUGGGUCACAGAGGUGGAGACUGAUGCUCUCACCUCUCCCUAGGUCCUGGAGGGCAGCAGGGUGGGUCACAGAGGUGGAGACUGAUGCUCUCACCUCUCCCUAGGUCCUGGAGGGCAGCAGGGUGGGUCACAGAGGUGGAGACUGAUGCUCUCACCUCUCCCUAGGUCCUGGAGGGCAGCAGGGUGGGUCACAGAGGUGGAGACUGAUGCUCUCACCUCUCCCUAGGUCCUGGAGGGCAGCAGGGUGGGUCACUGAGGUGGAGACUGAUGCUCUCACCUCUCCCUAGGUCCUGCAGGGCAGCAGGGUGGGUCACAGAGGUGGAGACUGAUGCUCUCACCUCUCCCUAGGUCCUGCAGGGCAGCAGGGUGGGUCACAGAGGUGGAGACUGAUGCUCUCAUCUCCCCCUAGGUCCUGCAGGGCAGCAGGGUGGGUCACAGAGGUGGAGACUGAUGCUCUCAUCUCCCCCUAGGUCCUGCAGGGCAGCAGGGUGGGUCACAGAGGUGGAGACUGAUGCUCUCACCUCUCCCUAGGUCCUGCAGGGCAGCAGGGUGGGUCACAGAGGUGGAGACUGUUGCUCUCACCUCCCCCUAGGUCCUGCAGGGCAGCAGGGUGGGUCACAGAGGUGGAGACUGAUGCUCUCACCUCCCCCUAGGUCCUGCAGGGCAGCAGGGUGGGUCACAGAGGUGGAGACUGAUGCUCUCACCUCUCAAUAGGUCCUGCAGGGCAGCAGGGUGGGUCACAGAGGUGGAGACUGAUGAUCUCACCUCUCAAUAGGUCCUGCAGGGCAGCAGGGUGGGUCACAGAGGUGGAGACUGAUGCUCUCACCUCCCACUAGGUCCUGCAGGGCAGCAGGGUGUGUCACAGAGGUGGAGACUGAUGAUCUCACCUCUCAAUAGGUCCUGCAGGGCGGCAGGGUGGGUCACAGAGGUGGAGACUGAUGCUCUCACCUCUCCCUAGGUCCUGCAGGGCAGCAGGGUGGGUCAAAGAGGUGGAGACUGAUGCUCUCACCUCUCAAUAGGUCCUGGAGGGCAGCAGGGUGUCACAGAGGUGGAGACUGAUGCUCUCACCUCUCAAUAGGUCCUGGAGGGCAGCAGGGUGUCACUGAGGUGGAGACUGAUGCUCUCACCUCUCAAUAGGUCCUGGAAACAAUACUCUCAAUGUCUCCAGACAAACAUCAGUGCUCUCCCUUGUCCCAUCAGUGGCUGCACACUCUGUAGUCUAUUUCUGAUGUGUACUAUCCAUCCUCAUAUUUGAUAUACAAGUGAAUAUUAUGAAGAGAAAUGUGUGGCCAGUGUAUCAACUACUCAAAAGUAUAUGCCUAUCUCCCUUUGAUCAGUUGAGUCUGGUGAUAGUGUUUGAGUGGUGUCCCGGCCUGGGAGACCAAGUCAGGACCUGCUACUCCACUACAACAAACAAGCUUAUGUCCGUCAGAAGUCUGUGUACAGUGGGGGUAGGCUGCAUUGCCUUUGCCAUUUUAUCAUCUGAGUCUUCCAACUGCAAUCAACGCAACUUGUCUCAUGUAACUAUAGUAACUGCUUGUUCCAACUAGAUGUAAAUUGCGUAAUCAUUCAUUGAACACCAUCAUACAAACUGACUUCCAAUCGAGUGAAAAAAGUGGAGCUUAAAAGUGGAACACUUUGGUCAUGACAAAAUGUCUGUUCCUCAUAUUCUCAGCCCUUCAGACAUACUGAUUCUGUGUCCUUGCAGGAGACAAUGGAUAACAGUCUGAGUGUCAGUCCCUCAUAAUCUCAGCCCUUCAGACAUAAUGAUUCUCUGUCCUUGCAGGAGACAAUGGAUAACAGUCUGAGUGUCAGUCCCUCAUCUUCUCAGCCCUUCAGACAUACUGAUUCUGUGUCCUUGUAGGAGACGAUGGAUAACAGUCUGAGUGUCAGUCCCUCAUCUUCUCAGCCCUUCAGACAUACUGAUUCUGUGUCCUUGCAGGAGACAAUGGAUAACAGUCUGAGUGUCAGUCCCUCAUCUUCUCAGCCCUUCAGACAUACUGAUUCUGUGUCCUUGCAGGAGACGAUGGAUAACAGUCUGAGUGUCAGUCCCUCAUCUUCUCAGCCCUUCAGACAUACUGAUUCUGUGUCCUUGCAGGAGACAAUGGAUAACAGUCUGAGUGUCAGUCCCUCAUAUUCUCAGCCCUUCAGACAUACUGAUUCUGUGUCCUUGCAGGAGACGAUGGAUAACAGUCUGGCAUGUCAACUAGUAGUACAUCUGACAUGAUGUACCAGGGGAUAUUUGCUAAGUUAGUGAUAAUCAUGAUAAUAAUAAAUUGAACAUGCUAUUUGCAUAUAUAUGAUAUGGCAAAAGUGUCAGUUUAGAUAAUAAGAAAGGUUUUCCAGUAUGUGAUGAAAGAUUUAGUGCUUGAUUUGAUAAUAAAACUUUAUUUUAUA